This 1374-nucleotide ribosomal RNA is filed under the name Platypalpus cursitans. RNAcentral's name for it is "16S ribosomal RNA". The stretch from base 1110 to 1270 matches the Rfam family "Archaeal large subunit ribosomal RNA", at positions 2544 to 2703 of the family's 2987-position model. Lineage: Eukaryota; Metazoa; Arthropoda; Insecta; Diptera; Hybotidae. The record is from RNAcentral.
UUUUAUUUAAAUUUUUAUUAAAAAUAAUUAUAAAAUUUAAAAUGUUUUAUUAUUGAAUAUAGAAUAAAUAAUUUAUUAUUAUAGAGUAUUAGUAUUGUAAAAGAAUAUUGAAAUAUAUUGAAAAAUUUUUAUUUUAAAAGAUAAUAUAAUAUAUUGUACCUUGUGUGUCAGGGUUUAUUAAAUAAAAUAUAUACAUAUAAUAUAUCUAUAUAUAUAUCUCUAUAUUUGAUAUAUUGAUUGAUUGAAUAAUAUAUUUCUCGAUUUUAAAAGAGCUAAUAAAGUAUAUUAUAUAAUGUGAUAAAAUUAUUUAAAAAUAUUUUAUUAGAAAUGAAAUGUUAUUCGUUUUUAAAGGUGUCUAGUUUUUUAAGAAAUAAAUUUAAUUUAGAAAUUUUUGAGUAUGAUUAUUUAUUAUAAAUAAUAAUUUGUUUAAUUAUUUUAGUAUUUUAUGGGAUAAGCUAUAAAAUAAAAGAUUUAAAAAUUUUUUUUUAUAAAAAAAAAUAUAUGCUUAGAAUUAGCAAUUAUUAAUAAUUAUGUUAUAAUAUAUUUUUGUGUAAAAAUUAUUUAGUUAAAUUUUAAAUUUUUUAUUAAAAUGGUAAUUUUAAUUUUUAAAGUUAAAUAAUAAUGAUAAAAUUAGUAUAUUAAAAAUAGUAUAAAUAUUUUUUAAUGGUAAGUUUUAUUAAAGAAUUCGGCAAAUUUUAAUGUUCGCUUGUUUAACAAAAACAUGGCCUUUAGAAAUUAAUUUAAGGUUUGACCUGCCCACUGAAAUUUUUUAAAUGGCCGCAGUAUUUUAACUGUGCAAAGGUAGCAUAAUCAUUAGUUUUUUAAUUGAAAGCUUGUAUGAAUGGUUGGACGAAAUAUUAACUGUUUCAUUAAAAUUUAUAAUAGAAUUUUAUUUUUUAGUUAAAAAGCUAAAAUAAUAUUAAAAGACGAGAAGACCCUAUAGAUCUUUAUAAUGAUUUUAUUUUGAUUAUAAAGAUUAUUUUAAUUAUAAUAAUUAAAUUAUUUUAUUGGGGUGAUAUUAAAAUUUAAAUAACUUUUAAAAUUAAAUUUACAUUAAUUUAUGAGUAUUUGAUCCAUUAUUUAUGAUUAUUAAAAUAAGUUACCUUAGGGAUAACAGCGUAAUUUUUUUGAAGAGUUCUUAUCGAUAAAAAAGAUUGCGACCUCGAUGUUGGAUUAAGAGAUAAUUUUAGGUGUAGCCGCUUAAAAAUUUAAGUCUGUUCGACUUUUAAAUUCUUACAUGAUCUGAGUUCAAACCGGCGUAAGCCAGGUUGGUUUCUAUCUUUAAUUAAGUUAAAUAUUUUAGUACGAAAGGACCAAAUAUUUGAAAAAAAUUUUUUUGUUUAAAAGAAUUAAAUUAAUGUUUAUAUUAAAAAA